ACGGGUGAGUAACACGUAUGCAACCUACCUGUAAGAGGGGAAUAACCCGGAGAAAUUCGGACUAAUACCGCAUAAUACCGCUGAACUGCAUGGUUUAGUGGUUAAACAUUUAUGGCUUACAGAUGGGCAUGCGUAUGAUUAGCUAGUUGGUGAGGUAACGGCUCACCAAGGCAACGAUCAUUAGGGGUUCUGAGAGGAAGGUCCCCCACACUGGUACUGAGACACGGACCAGACUCCUACGGGAGGCAGCAGUGAGGAAUAUUGGUCAAUGGGCGAGAGCCUGAACCAGCCAAGUCGCGUGAAGGAAGAAGGUUCUAUGGAUUGUAAACUUCUUUUGUAAGGGAAUAAAAAAGAGUACGUGUACUCUAUUGUAUGUACUUUACGAAUAAGGAUCGGCUAACUCCGUGCCAGCAGCCGCGGUAAUACGGAGGAUCCGAGCGUUAUCCGGAUUUAUUGGGUUUAAAGGGUGCGUAGGCGGACCCUUAAGUCAGUGGUGAAAGUUUGCGGCUCAACCGUAAAAUUGCCAUUGAAACUGAGGGUCAUGAGUGUAAAUGAGGUAGGCGGAAUGUGUUGUGUAGCGG
RNAcentral lists this ribosomal RNA (581 nucleotides) under uncultured bacterium. Its description in RNAcentral is "bacterial SSU rRNA". It matches the Rfam family "Bacterial small subunit ribosomal RNA", at positions 102 to 681 of the family's 1533-position model. The record is from RNAcentral.